GGAUUAGAUACCCUGGUAGUCCACGCCGUAAACGAUGAUGGCUCGCUCUUGGCCCGCAGGGGUCAGGGGCUUAGCGAAAGCGUUAAGCCAUCCACCUGGGGAGUACGCCGGCAACGGUGAAACUCAAAGGAAUUGACGGGGGCCCGCACAAGCGGAGGAACAUGUGGUUUAAUUCGAUGAUACGCGAGGAACCUUACCCAGGCUCGAACGCCGAACGAAUGCCGGGGAAACUUGGCAGCCAGCAAUGGCGGUCGGCGAGGUGCUGCAUGGUUGUCGUCAGCUCGUGCCG
This 289-nucleotide ribosomal RNA is filed under the name uncultured bacterium. RNAcentral's name for it is "partial 16S ribosomal RNA". It matches the Rfam family "Bacterial small subunit ribosomal RNA", at positions 775 to 1067 of the family's 1533-position model. The record is from RNAcentral.